RNAcentral lists this ribosomal RNA (484 nucleotides) under uncultured bacterium. RNAcentral's name for it is "partial 16S ribosomal RNA". It matches the Rfam family "Bacterial small subunit ribosomal RNA", at positions 30 to 507 of the family's 1533-position model. The record is from RNAcentral.
AUUGAACGCUGGCGGCAGGCUUAACACAUGCAAGUCGAGCGGAUGAAGGGAGCUUGCACCUGGAUUCAGCGGCGGACGGGUGAGUAAUGCCUAGGAAUCUGCCUGGUAGUGGGGGAUAACGUCUGGAAACGGGCGCUAAUACCGCAUACGUCCUGAGGGAGCAAGCGGGGGAUCUUCGGACCUCAUGCUAUCAGAUGAGCCUAGGUCGGAUUAGCUAGUUGGUGGGGUAAAGGUCUACCAGGGCGACGAUCCGUAACUGGUUUGAGAGGAUGAUCAGGCACACUAGCACUAAGACACAAUACUAAGUCCAACGGGAGGGAGCAGUGAAAAGUAUUAAACAGUAGGCGGAAGCUUAAUCGAGCCAUACGGAGUGACUGAAGAAGAUCUUCAAAUUGUAGAACACUUUAAGUUAGAAGGAAGGGCAGUAAGUAAAUACGUUGCUGUUUUGACAUAACCAGCAGAGUAAACACCAGCUGACUUCGUG